Molecule: ribosomal RNA, 253 nt
Filed under: uncultured bacterium
Lineage: Bacteria
Description: partial 16S ribosomal RNA
Rfam family: Bacterial small subunit ribosomal RNA
Source: RNAcentral
UACAGAGGAUGCAAGCGUUAUCCGGAAUUAUUGGGCGUAAAGCGUCUGUAGGCGGCUUUUUAAGUCCGCCGUCAAAUCCCAGGGCUCAACUCUGGACAGGCGGUGGAAACUAACAAGCUGGAGUACGGUAGGGGCAGAGGGAAUUUCCGGUGGAGCGGUGAAAUGCGUAGAGAUCGGAAAGAACACCAACGGCGAAAGCACUCUGCUGGGCCGGCACUGACACUGAGAGACGAAAGCUAGGGGAGCGAAUGGG